UGGUGAUUCAUAGUAACCGAACGGAUCGCAGUUGGCUUCGGCCCGCGAUGGAUCUUUCAAGUUUCUGACCUAUCAGCUUUCGACGGUAGGGUAUUGGCCUACCGUGGCAGUGACGGGUAACGGGGAAUUAGGGUUCGAUUCCGGAGAGGGAGCCUGAGAAACGGCUACCACAUCUAAGGAAGGCAGCAGGCGCGCAAAUUACCCAAUGAAAACAGUUUCGAGGUAGUGACGAGAAAUAACAAUACAGGGCAUUUUAUGCUCUGUAAUUGGAAUGAUGGGAAUGUAAAACCCUUCCAGAGUAACAAUUGGAGGGCAAGUCUGGUGCCAGCAGCCGCGGUAAUUCCAGCUCCAAUAGUGUAUAUUAGAGUUGUUGCAGUUAAAAAGCUCGUAGUUGGAUUUCUGUCGUGGUCAUCCGGCUCCGCCCGUAUGGGUGUGCGCCUGGUUUGCCCUCGGCUUUCUUCCGGUAGCCUUCCGCGCUUCACUGCGUGUGUUGGUGUUCCGGAACUUUUACUUUGAGAAAAAUAGAGUGUUUCAAGCAGGCUUGUCGCCCUGAAUACUUCAGCAUGGAAUAAUAAGAUAGGACCUUGGUUCUAUUUUGUUGGUUUCUAGGACCAAGGUAAUGGUUAAUAGGGACAGUU
Molecule: ribosomal RNA, 638 nt
Filed under: Eimeria jerfinica
Lineage: Eukaryota; Apicomplexa; Conoidasida; Eucoccidiorida; Eimeriidae
Description: SSU rRNA
Rfam family: Eukaryotic small subunit ribosomal RNA
Source: RNAcentral